This 495-nucleotide ribosomal RNA is filed under the name uncultured Glomeromycotina. RNAcentral describes it as "partial small subunit ribosomal RNA". It matches the Rfam family "Eukaryotic small subunit ribosomal RNA", at positions 591 to 1092 of the family's 1831-position model. Lineage: Eukaryota; Fungi; Glomeromycota. The record is from RNAcentral.
CCAAUAGCGUAUAUUAAAGUUGUUGCAGUUAAAAAGCUCGUAGUUGAAUUUUAGGCCUGACCGGACGGUCCGUCUCUGGCGAGUACUGUUCUGUUGUCGGGUCUAUCCUUCUGGUGAGCCGGUAUGCCCUUUAUUGGGUGUGUCGGGGAACCAGGACCAUUACCUUGAAAAAAUUAGAGUGUUUAAAGCGGGCUUUUGCUUGAAUAGAUUAGCAUGGAAUAAUAGAAUAGGACGUUGGUUCUAUUUUGUUGGUCUAGGACCACCGUAAUGAUUAAUAGGGAUAGUUGGGGGCAUUAGUAUUCAAUUGUCAGAGGUGAAAUUCUUGGAUUUAUUGAAGACUAACUACUGCGGAAGCAUUUGCCAAGGAUGUUUUCAUUAAUCAAGAACGAAAGUUAGGGGAUCGAAGACGAUCAGAUACCGUCGUAGUCUUAACCAUAAACUAUGCCGACUAGGAAUCGGGCGACGUUAUUUUCAUGACUCGCUCGGCGCCUUAUG